GAUGAACGUUGGCGGCGUGCCUAACACAUGCAAGUCGAGCGAAUGAAGUUCCUUCGGGAACGGAUUUAGCGGCGGACGGGUGAGUAACACGUGGGCAACCUGCCCUCAUAGAGGGGAAUAGCCUUCCGAAAGGGAGAUUAAUACCGCAUAAGAUUGUAGUACCGCAUGGUACAGCAAUUAAAGGAGCAAUCCGCUAUGAGAUGGGCCCGCGGCGCAUUAGCUAGUUGGUGAGGUAACGGCUCACCAAGGCGACGAUGCGUAGCCGACCUGAGAGGGUGAUCGGCCACAUUGGGACUGAGACACGGCCCAGACUCCUACGGGAGGCAGCAGUGGGGAAUAUUGCACAAUGGGGGAAACCCUGAUGCAGCAACGCCGCGUGAGUGAUGACGGCCUUCGGGUUGUAAAGCUCUGUCUUCAGGGACGAUAAUGACGGUACCUGAGGAGGAAGCCACGGCUAACUACGUG
RNAcentral lists this ribosomal RNA (465 nucleotides) under uncultured bacterium. RNAcentral's name for it is "bacterial SSU rRNA". It matches the Rfam family "Bacterial small subunit ribosomal RNA", at positions 28 to 507 of the family's 1533-position model. The record is from RNAcentral.